GUCGUCAGCUCGUGUCGUGAGAUGUUGGGUUAAGUCCCGCAACGAGCGCAACCCUUGUGUUUAGUUGCAAACAGGUCAAGCUGUGCACUCUAGACAGACUGCCGUGGACAACACGGAGGAAGGUGGGGAUGACGUCAAAUCAUCAUGCCCCUUAUGAUCUGGGCUACACACGUGCUACAAUGGCCGGGUACAACGGGCAGCGAAGGAGCGAUCCGGAGCGAAUCCUAAAAAGCCGGUCCCAGUUCGGAUUGCAGGCUGAAACUCGCCUACAUGAAGUUGGAGUUGCUAGUAAUCGCGAAUCAGAAUGUCGCGGUGAAUGCGUUCCCGGGUCUU
Molecule: ribosomal RNA, 333 nt
Filed under: uncultured Fusibacter sp.
Lineage: Bacteria; Bacillati; Bacillota; Clostridia; Eubacteriales; Fusibacteraceae
Description: bacterial SSU rRNA
Rfam family: Bacterial small subunit ribosomal RNA
Source: RNAcentral